AGCAAUGGGCAACCGGCGAACGGGUGCGUAACACGUGAGCAACCUACCGAAUUGUGGGGGAUAGCCGGCCCAACGGCCGGGUAAUACCGCAUACGAUCGAGACCAGGCAUUUGGACUCGAUGAAAUCUACGGAGCAAUUCGAGGGGCUCGCGGCCUAUCAGCUAGUUGGCGAGGUAACGGCUCACCAAGGCAACGACGGGUAGCUGGUCUGAGAGGAUGGCCAGCCACAUUGGGACUGAGAUACGGCCCAGACUCCUACGGGAGGCAGCAGUGGGGAAUCUUGCGCAAUGGCCUAACGGCUGACGCAGCGACGCCGCGUGAGGGAUGACGCUCUUCGGAGUGUAAACCUCUUUUGCCCGGGACGAAUUGCCAGUUUUCACUGGCUUGACGGUACCGGGUGAAUAAGCACCGGCUAACUCCGUGCCAGCAGCCGCGGUAAUACGGGGGGUGCGAGCGUUGUCCGGAAUCACUGGGCGUAAAGGGCGCGUAGGUGGUCUGAUAAGGGUGUGGUGAAAGCCCGGGGCUCAACCCCGGGUCGGCCGUGCCGACUGUUGGACUAGAGUGCUGUAGGGGCAGGCGGAAUUCCGGGUGUAGCGGUGGAAUGCGUAGAGAUCCGGAGGAAGACCGGUGGCGAAGGCGGCCUGCUGGGCAGUUACUGACACUGAGGCGCGACAGCGUGGGGAGCAAACAGGAUUAGAUACCCUGGUAGUCCACGCCGUAAACGAUGGGUACUAGGUGCCUGGGGGAGCGACCCCUUGGGUGCCGGCGCUAACGCAGGAAGUACCCCGCCUGGGGAGUACGACCGCAAGGUUGAAACUCAAAGGAAUUGA
Molecule: ribosomal RNA, 830 nt
Filed under: uncultured Gemmatimonadota bacterium
Lineage: Bacteria; Pseudomonadati; Gemmatimonadota
Description: bacterial SSU rRNA
Rfam family: Bacterial small subunit ribosomal RNA
Source: RNAcentral